Haliotis rufescens (red abalone) is the source of this 1505-nucleotide long non-coding RNA. RefSeq lists it as uncharacterized. Lineage: Eukaryota; Metazoa; Mollusca; Gastropoda; Lepetellida; Haliotidae. The record is from RefSeq and is a predicted model, not a curated record. The transcript is spliced from 3 exons.
UUUUAUCAUUGCGUAUCGAGAUAUGUAUCGUAUCGUGACCAGAAUAUCGAGAUGCGUAUCGUAUCGUGACCUUCCUGUAUCGUUGCAGCCCUAGUUACAAGUAGACAUUACAGGUAGGAAUUGAUUACAAAUAUUCACUUGUUACAAGAAGGCAUUACAGGUAGGGAUUUGUUGAAAGUACUCACUUGUUAAAAGUAGGCAUUCAGUACAAGUUAGCACUUGUUACAAGUAGGCAUUACAGGUAGGAAUUGAUUACAAAUAUUCACUUGUUACAAGAAGGCAUUACAGGUAGGGAUUUGUUGAAAGUACUCACUUGUUAAAAGUAGGCAUUCAGUACAAGUUAGCACUUGUUACAAGUAGGCAUUACAGGUAGGGAUUUGUUGAAAGUACUCACUUGUUAAAAGUAGGCAUUCAGUACAAGUUAGCACUUGUUGCAAGUAGGCAUUACAGGUAGGGAUUUUUGAAAGUACUCACUUGUUAAAAGUAGGCAUUCAGUACAAGUUAGCACUUGUUACAAGUAGGCAUUACAGGUAGGAAUUGAUUACAAAUAUUCACUUGUUACAAGAAGGCAUUACAGGUAGGGAUUUGUUGAAAGUACUCACUUGUUAAAAGUAGGCAUUCAGUACAAGUUAGCACUUGUUACAAGUAGGCAUUACAGGUAGGAAUUGAUUACAAAUAUUCACUUGUUACAAGAAGGCAUUACAGGUAGGGAUUUGUUGAAAGUACUCACUUGUUAAAAGUAGGCAUUCAGUACAAGUUAGCACUUGUUACAAGUAGGCAUUACAGGUAGGGAUUUGUUGAAAGUACUCACUUGUUAAAAGUAGGCAUUCAGUACAAGUUAGCACUUGUUGCAAGUAGGCAUUACAGGUAGGGAUUUUUGAAAGUACUCACUUGUUAAAAGUAGGCAUUCAGUACAAGUUAGCACUUGUUACAAGUAGGCAUUACAGGUAGGAAUUGAUUACAAAUAUUCACUUGUUACAAGAAGGCAUUACAGGUAGGGAUUUGUUGAAAGUACUCACUUGUUAAAAGUAGGCAUUCAGUACAAGUUAGCACUUGUUACAAGUAGGCAUUACAGGUAGGGAUUUGUUGAAAGUACUCACUUGUUAAAAGUAGGCAUUCAGUACAAGUUAGCACUUGUUGCAAGUAGGCAUUACAGGUAGGGAUUUUUGAAAGUACUCACUUGUUAAAAGUAGGCAUUCAGUACAAGUUAGCACUUGUUACAAGUAGGCAUUACAGGUAGGGAUUUGUUGAAAGUACUCACUUGUUAAAAGUAGGCAUUCAGUACAAGUUAGCACUUGUUACAAGUAGGCAUUACAGGUAGGAAUUGAUUACAAAUAUUCACUUGUUACAAGAAGGCAUUACAGGUAGGGAUUUGUUGAAAGUACUCACUUGUUAAAAGUAGGCAUUCAGUACAAGUUAGCACUUGUUACAAGUAGGCAGGUAGGGAUUUGUUGAAAAUAGUCACUGUUAAAAAUUUUAAUGCUGAAUAUGUGCAUUUACUUGUU